Molecule: long non-coding RNA, 470 nt
Organism: Panicum virgatum (switchgrass)
Lineage: Eukaryota; Viridiplantae; Streptophyta; Magnoliopsida; Poales; Poaceae
Exons: 3
Source: RefSeq, a predicted model, not a curated record
GAAAGUAGAUGAAUUUAUAGCAGAUAUUAGAGAAGGAAAAACAUUUGGACCUAUCAGAGCAGGUCAGUAGUUUAUACGACCAUCACAAGCUUAUAUUAUUCUUUGCUGGUUUAACCUUAUUCUAAUAUUUCUUUUAACAGUUUUGUACACCGUUGAGUUCCAAAAGCGUGGCCUGCCUCAUAUACACUACCUUGUGUGGUCCCGUCCCUCACCUAACAAGAAAAUUGUCAGGAAGCUACUGCUUGAGGAUGACACUGCAAGCGAAGACAGUGGCCAUGAACAUGAUAGUCCAAAGCCUAGUUCUAGCGCUGAUGCUUAGGAGGAAGAAGGGGCGAAGCUCAUUUUGUAUUUGCACAGUUGCAAUCAUGCCUUGACAUGCAUCUGAUAAUCUGUUGCUUGAUGAUAUCUAUUUAGCCGUUUUAUAGCUUGUGCAAUCAGCAUUACUGAACUCUCUUUUGGAUAUCGCAUGA